AAUAACCAAAUAUAACACUGGGACUAAGGGUCAAAUUGGUAAUUUUUCUUACAUCUCCCCCCCCCCCUCCCCCCCGGGGCCCAGGUAUCAUAUACACCGCCAAAAUAAAGAGCCUUGAGUACUAGAAGAAAAGCACCUAGACCUAACAAAAUUAAGUGAAUACCCAAAAUUGUAGUCAUUUUAUUUCUAUCUUUCCA
RNAcentral lists this antisense RNA (197 nucleotides) under Triticum dicoccoides. Its description in RNAcentral is "lncRNA IsrR". It matches the Rfam family "Antisense RNA which regulates isiA expression". The record is from RNAcentral. Lineage: Eukaryota; Viridiplantae; Streptophyta; Magnoliopsida; Poales; Poaceae.